RNAcentral lists this transfer RNA (74 nucleotides) under Candidatus Ornithospirochaeta avicola. RNAcentral's name for it is "tRNA-Arg". It matches the Rfam family "tRNA". Rfam says of the family: Transfer RNA (tRNA) molecules are approximately 80 nucleotides in length. Their secondary structure includes four short double-helical elements and three loops (D, anti-codon, and T loops). The record is from RNAcentral. Lineage: Bacteria; Pseudomonadati; Spirochaetota; Spirochaetia; Spirochaetales; Spirochaetaceae.
GCGCCCGUAGCUCAUUUGGAUAGAGCAACUGCCUUCUAAGCAGUAGGUGAUUGGUUCGAAUCCAAUCGGGCGUA